UAAAAGAUGGCUGAGUUUAAAGGCAUAAGAUUGUAAAUCUUAUUACGGGUAUUUCUCUCUUUUAA
RNAcentral lists this transfer RNA (65 nucleotides) under Altiverruca navicula. Its description in RNAcentral is "tRNA-Tyr". It matches the Rfam family "tRNA". From Rfam's summary of the family: Transfer RNA (tRNA) molecules are approximately 80 nucleotides in length. Their secondary structure includes four short double-helical elements and three loops (D, anti-codon, and T loops). The record is from RNAcentral. Lineage: Eukaryota; Metazoa; Arthropoda; Thecostraca; Verrucomorpha; Verrucidae.